GACGAACGCUGGCGGCGUGCUUAACACAUGCAAGUCGAACGGAAAGGCCCUGCUUUUGUGGGGUGCUCGAUUGGCGAACGGGUGAGUAACACGUGAGUAACCUGCCCUUGACUUUGGGAUAACUUCAGGAAACUGGGGCUAAUACCGGAUAGGAGCUCCUGCUGCAUGGUGGGGGUUGGAAAGUUUCGGCGGUUGGGGAUGUAAUCGCGGCUUAUCAGCUUGUUGGGGGGGUAGUGGCUUACCAAGGCUUUGACGGGUAGCCGGCCUGAGAGGGUGACCGGCGACAUGGGGACUGAGAUACGGCCCAGAAUCCUACGGGAGGCAGUAGUGGGGAAUCUUGCACAAUGGGCGGAAGCCUGAUGCAGCAACGCCGCGUGCGGGAUGACGGCCUUCGGGUUGUAAACCGCUUUCGCCUGUGACGAAGCGUGAGUGACGGUAAUGGGUAAAGAAGCACCGGCUAACUACGUG
RNAcentral lists this ribosomal RNA (468 nucleotides) under uncultured bacterium. RNAcentral's name for it is "partial 16S ribosomal RNA". It matches the Rfam family "Bacterial small subunit ribosomal RNA", at positions 28 to 507 of the family's 1533-position model. The record is from RNAcentral.